AUGGGCACCAAUUUCCCGCAGAGCCACCACCUCCAGAACACGCCCUUCUCGCUCCCCAGGAAGCAAUUCCUCACCUACAUCCUCUACGCCCUCCUCCCCCUCGCGCUCUUCCACUACCUCCUCUUCAACCCGCUGGCCGCGCCCAAGCCGCCGCUCCUGGCGCGAGAGGCGGCGCCGUCCCAGCACGGGCACGCGCCCGUCAAUGCGCUUGAGGAGCAGCUGCCCCCGCCCCCUCCCGGCCGAGGGGGCGAAGUGUUGGCAUUGGGGGAAACUCAAGGCGGGGACGUGUCGGCGUCAGGAUCCGCGUCGCCGGCGUGCGACUACUCCGACGGCGAGUGGGUGCCGGACGGGCGCCCGCCGCUGUACGACGGGACGAGCUGCGGCACCAUCAAGGACGGCCAGAACUGCAUGGCGCACGGCCGCCCGGACACCGGGUACCUCCACUGGCGGUGGCGGCCGCGGCGGUGCCACCUCCCCGCCUUCUCCCCGGAGGCGUUCCUCCGCUGGCUCCGCAACAGGCACCUGGCCUUCGUCGGCGACUCCAUGGCGCGCAACCAGGGCGAGUCGCUGCUCUGCCUCCUCGCCUCCCGCUCCCGGCCGGACCUCGUGUACCGGGACGGUGAGGAGAACAAGUUCCGGCGGUGGGUCUUCCGGGAGUACAACGCCACCGUGUCCAUCUUCUGGUCGCCGCUCCUGGUGAGGGUCGUCGAGAAGGCGGAGCAGGACGGCGUGCGGCACAACAACGUGUUCCUCGACUCGUUCGACGAGCGGUGGAUGUCGCAGCUGGGCGCGGUCGACGCGGCCGUCCUGUCCGUCGGGCACUGGUUCCUGAUCCCCGGCGUCUACCACGACGGCGGCAGGGUCGUGGGCUGCCACGACUGCGCGGACCUCAACCUCACCGAGACGGCCUUCUUCGGCGUGUUCAAGGAAGCCGUGCACCGCACGCUCGCCGAGGUCGCCCGGCGGCACGGCGCGGACAGGAAGGUGGUCGCGGUCACCACGUUCUCGCCGGCGCACUUCGAGGGGGACUGGGACAAGGCCGGCGCGUGCCCCAGGAGACACCCGUACAGGGAAGACGAGAAGGAGCUGGGCUACACGGAGAAUGAGAUGAGGAAGACCGUCCUGGAGGCGGUGGCCGCCCACGCCGGCGACGGGCCCCUGCGGUUUGCGGCGCUCGACGUGACGAAGCUGGCCAACCUGCGGCCGGACGGCCACCCGGGGCCGUACAUGCGCAGCGACCCGUUCGCCGGCGGGGCGGACGCGCGGGUGCAGAACGACUGCGUGCACUGGUGCAUGCCCGGCCCGAUCGACACGUUCAACGAGAUCCUGCUACAGACCGUCGCGGGGUGA
Molecule: ribosomal RNA, 1350 nt
Filed under: Triticum aestivum (bread wheat)
Lineage: Eukaryota; Viridiplantae; Streptophyta; Magnoliopsida; Poales; Poaceae
Description: partial small subunit ribosomal RNA
Source: RNAcentral